This 187-nucleotide ribosomal RNA is filed under the name Botryosphaeria sp. NR-2006-M76. RNAcentral's name for it is "5.8S ribosomal RNA". The stretch from base 3 to 156 matches the Rfam family "5.8S ribosomal RNA". Rfam says of the family: 5.8S ribosomal RNA (5.8S rRNA) is a component of the large subunit of the eukaryotic ribosome. The record is from RNAcentral. Lineage: Eukaryota; Fungi; Ascomycota; Dothideomycetes; Botryosphaeriales; Botryosphaeriaceae.
AAAACUUUCAACAACGGAUCUCUUGGUUCUGGCAUCGAUGAAGAACGCAGCGAAAUGCGAUAAGUAAUGUGAAUUGCAGAAUUCAGUGAAUCAUCGAAUCUUUGAACGCACAUUGCGCCCCUUGGUAUUCCGAGGGGCAUGCCUGUUCGAGCGUCAUUACAACCCUCAAGCUCUGCUUGGUAUUGGG